This 465-nucleotide ribosomal RNA is filed under the name uncultured bacterium. RNAcentral's name for it is "partial 16S ribosomal RNA". It matches the Rfam family "Bacterial small subunit ribosomal RNA", at positions 28 to 507 of the family's 1533-position model. The record is from RNAcentral.
GAUGAACGCUGGCGGCGUGCUUAACACAUGCAAGUCGAACGGAAAGGCUCCUGCUUGCAGGGGUACUCGAGUGGCGAACGGGUGAGUAACACGUGGGUGAUCUGCCCUGCACUUCGGGAUAAGCCUGGGAAACUGGGUCUAAUACCGGAUAGGACGAUGGUUUGGAUGCCAUUGUGGAAAGUUUUUCGGUGUGGGAUGAGCUCGCGGCCUAUCAGCUUGUUGGUGGGGUAAUGGCCUACCAAGGCGUCGACGGGUAGCCGGCCUGAGAGGGUGUACGGCCACAUUGGGACUGAGAUACGGCCCAGACUCCUACGGGAGGCAGCAGUGGGGAAUAUUGCACAAUGGGCGCAAGCCUAAUGCAGCGACGCCGCGUGGGGGAUGACGGCCUUCGGGUUGUAAACUCCUUUCGCUAGGGACGAAGCGCAAGUGACGGUACCUGGAGAAGAAGCACCGGCUAACUACGUG